AGAGCGAACGCUGGCGGCAGGCCUAACACAUGCAAGUCGAGCGGCCGUAGCAAUACGGCAGCGGCAGACGGGAUAGUAACACGUGGGAACGCGCCCUUCGGUUCGGAAUAACUCAGGGAAACUUGAGCUAAUACCGGAUACGCCCUUACGGGGAAAGAUUUAUUGCCGAAGGAACGGCCCGCGUCCGAUUAGCUAGUUGGUGAGGUAAUGGCUCACCAAGGCUCCGAUCGGUAGCUGGUCUGAGAGGAUGACCAGCAUCACUGGGACUGAGACACGGCCCAGACUCCUACGGGAGGCAGCAGUGGGGAAUAUUGGACAAUGGGCGCAAGCCUGAUCCAGCCAUGCCGCGUGGAUGAUGAAGGCCUUAGGGUUGUAAAGUCCUUUUAACGGGAAGAUAAUGACGGUACCCGUAGAAUAAGCCCCGGCUAACGUUCGCGCCAGCAGCCGC
Molecule: ribosomal RNA, 448 nt
Filed under: uncultured bacterium
Lineage: Bacteria
Description: SSU rRNA
Rfam family: Bacterial small subunit ribosomal RNA
Source: RNAcentral